CCUACGGGGCGCAGCAGUGGGGAAUAUUGCACAAUGGGGGAAACCCUGAUGCAGCAACGCCGCGUGAGUGAAGAAGUAUUUCGGUAUGUAGAGCUCUAUCAGCAGGGAAGAAGAUGACGGUACCUGAGUAAGAAGCCCCGGCUAACUACGUGCCAGCAGCCGCGGUAAUACGUAGGGGGCAAGCGUUAUCCGGAUUUACUGGGUGUAAAGGGAGCGUAGACGGCUGUGCAAGUCUGGAGUGAAAGGCAUGGGCUCAACCUGUGGACUGCUUUGGAAACUGUGCGGCUUGAGUGUCGGAGAGGCAA
RNAcentral lists this ribosomal RNA (305 nucleotides) under uncultured bacterium. RNAcentral's name for it is "bacterial SSU rRNA". It matches the Rfam family "Bacterial small subunit ribosomal RNA", at positions 338 to 660 of the family's 1533-position model. The record is from RNAcentral.